This 314-nucleotide ribosomal RNA is filed under the name uncultured bacterium. RNAcentral's name for it is "bacterial SSU rRNA". It matches the Rfam family "Bacterial small subunit ribosomal RNA", at positions 28 to 309 of the family's 1533-position model. The record is from RNAcentral.
GAUGAACGCUGGCGGCGUGCUUAACACAUGCAAGUCGAACGAAGAAACCUUGAAUGAGAGCUUCGGCAGGAUUUCUUGGUAUCUUAGUGGCGGACGGGUGAGUAACGUGUGGGCAACCUGCCCUAUACUGGGGAAGUAAAUCACUGGAAACGGUAGACUAAUAACCGCUUGUUCAUUGCGAGAGGGCGAUCCUCCUUGCAAGAAAAGGAAGUAAUUCGGUAUAGGAUGGCCCGGCCAUCUGAUUAGCUAGUUGGUGAGAUAACAAGCCCACCCAAGGCGACGAUCAGUAGCCGACCUGAGAGGGUGGAUCGGCC